AAAAAAAUAGCAGAAGAGAAAAUCCAGAAAUAGACCCACACAAACAUGCCCAGCUGAUUUUUUUUUUUACAAAAGUGCAAAAGCAAUUCAAUAGAGGAAGGAUAGCCUUUCUGGGCUAACUGGACAACCUUGGAUCACAGACUUAAAUAUAAAAGGCAAUCCUGUACAACUUGGAGGAAAGCAGACAAUCUUCAGGACAUAGGGCUAAGCAAAGAGGUCUUAGACUUGACAUCAACAUUGAUACACUGAACUUCUUUAAAAUGAAAAACUGGCUCUUUGUUAAGAGGACAAAAAGAUUAGCUAGUUUGGGAGACAAUACCUGCAAACCACAUGUCCAACAGGAGACUAAUAUCUAGAAUACAUAUUUUAUUUUUUUUCAGUAGAGACGGGGGUUUCACCAUGUUGGCCAAGCUGGUCUCAAACUCCUGACCUCAGGUGAUCCGCCCACCUCAGCCUCCCCAAGUGCUGGGAUUACAGGCUUGAGCCAGCGUGCCCAGCCUAGAAUGUGUAAUGAACUCUCCAAACUUAUAGUAAAAAAGCAAACCAUCCAGUUCGAGCGUGGACACAGAAUAUGAAGAGAGAUUUCACCAAGAAAACCCACAGAUGGCAAAUAAGCACAAAGAAAGAUGCUCCACGUCACUGGCCAACAGGGAAACGCGAAUGAGGACCACAGCACCCUGCCAGCACAUCCCUACCAGGACGCGGCUAAAAUGAAAAACAGCAACUCCACCAAAUGCUGGUGAGGAUGCGGAAAAUCUGCAUCACCGUAGGGAUGCAAAAUGGCCCAGCCACUCUGAAAAACAAUUAGACAGUUUCUUUAAAAAAA
Molecule: long non-coding RNA, 826 nt
Filed under: Homo sapiens (human)
Lineage: Eukaryota; Metazoa; Chordata; Mammalia; Primates; Hominidae
Description: HSALNT0235316
Source: RNAcentral